Dromaius novaehollandiae (emu) is the source of this 304-nucleotide long non-coding RNA. The record is from Ensembl. Lineage: Eukaryota; Metazoa; Chordata; Aves; Casuariiformes; Dromaiidae.
UUGAGGACAUAAAAAAGGGGGRAAAAAACAGGAUAAAGGUGCUAGUAAAGUUUGCAGCGAAAGAAAGAUCAGAAAGGUUUUUUWAAAAAGUCAUUACAGACUCUUGGAAAUGUUUUUUCCAUAGGAAGACAGCACUGUGAAUAAAAAUGACACUAAAUGUUGCAGGAGGCGCAGACUCGCAAAGGGUAACGGCUGGGACCGCUGCGACAGACGUAGCACUGAGGCGCUCCUGCUAUUUUUAGAGGUAAUAUUUUUAACACCAUACCUAGCUCCCCCUUUUGCUUUCUGGGCCAUUAACCUUCAG